Molecule: non-coding RNA, 82 nt
Organism: Arthromyces matolae
Lineage: Eukaryota; Fungi; Basidiomycota; Agaricomycetes; Agaricales; Lyophyllaceae
Source: the annotation of a GenBank genome assembly
UCCUCCUUAGCUCAGUGGUAGAGCGCGUCACUUGUAUAGUGCAGGCAUGACGAGGUCAGUCGUUCAAUCCGGCUAGGUGGAA